CAGUCCUGGAAAUUUGAAAACUGUGGUUGUCCAAUUCAGUUUUAAGAAAAGAAAGUUCGCGGAUUUCAGAAGUUCCGCAUAACGACUGCUGAGAUUCUAAACUGCCUUUGGUCAGAUGAGGAAACCAAGGCAAAAGAAAACUCAGCUCUCCUCCCAGCCAGAGUGGGGAACCUGCUCUCACCCGUGGGGGGCCGGUGUGUUCCAGUGUCCCUGCUUCCCGAGAAGGACGCCUGGAGCCCUGCCGGACAGUCAGCACACUUCGGAACUCAGAGGCAGCAAAGGGAGCAGUUAAGGACAGACGGACAAAUGCUCGAGAGAAAAUAAGACGCAAGUUUUCCAUCCGCGGUACGAGCAGACGAGGGCUGCCUAGGGCCAGAGGGACAGAAGAGGAACCUCUCACUAAGGACUUACCAGCCCGGCAGCACAGGCAGGAAGUGCUGCCUCCAGCAGCGUGAGCGCAGAGGAUGAGCAGAGGCCUGGUCACGUGACCAGGCUCGGAAAGAGCGUUGGGGGAGGGGCGCCAGAAAUGAACAACACGGAGAAGGAACGGAAAGGCGGUGCGUGAGGGUAAGCCGAGGCGGGGCUCUGCAGGCUGCAGCGGAGCUGGCGUCCUCCUCCCUCCCCCGCCGCAGCCAGAGAGCAGCAGCUGUUGCGAUCCAGCUGCCAUUUUUCAAACCAAUUAAGGAGCCCUGUUACUGCCCCCGGGAGGGAGUGUGUCUGUGUCUUCUGAGUCAGCAGCUCGGACCGGGGCCUCUGGGGACAAGCUCGCAAGGCCCUAAUCGUCCCCUCAGAGUUAAAAAUAACAAGUAGCAAGCCACUACUCUUGACUUUACACUGCCGCAGGGGGCGGAGGUCGGGGGUGUCUCUUGCCACAGAGGUUUACCAUCCGAGGCGCCAGAGAGCGGCAGCCCGCCGGCAGCACGUUUUUCUUCCCAUUCGCGCUCUCCUGCUUCAGGUCCCCGUCCUGAAGUCAUCCAUCAGCUGUCCCACUUGCCAGAACCUUCAUCACAGCCCCCGGAGACCUUACCUCUGCUUUGCUCGACCACCUGAUAGCCAGUCCACAGGGUCCGCCCGCCCCACCUCCUCUCCUCUCUGUCUGCUUACUCCAUCAACUCAGCCUUUCUGGAUUCUGGGCCUUUGGCCACGAAACAACCCAGGUGGCUACAACCAGAGCCAACAUGGGGGCAGCUCCAAACCCUGAAGGUCUGAGAAGGCGGGAAGUGUCCCUGGCUUGUUGUCAUGGAAACCACAAUAGAGGCUUGCCUCCUGACCAACCCUGGUGCUUCCCCGUGUGCCCCCCCCCAUGGCAUGGCACGCCCCCUCCUCUCAGGAGCUGUGAUUAUAAAAUAUCUUUUUAAUAGC
Orcinus orca (killer whale) is the source of this 1362-nucleotide long non-coding RNA. RefSeq lists it as uncharacterized. NCBI's taxonomy places the organism in Eukaryota, Metazoa, Chordata, Mammalia, Artiodactyla, Delphinidae. The record is from RefSeq and is a predicted model, not a curated record. The transcript is spliced from 4 exons.